This 304-nucleotide ribosomal RNA is filed under the name uncultured soil bacterium. Its description in RNAcentral is "bacterial SSU rRNA". It matches the Rfam family "Bacterial small subunit ribosomal RNA", at positions 26 to 345 of the family's 1533-position model. The record is from RNAcentral.
AGAUUGAACGCUGGCGGCAUGCCUAACACAUGCAAGUCGAACGGGAGUAGCAAUACUCUAGUGGCGGACGGGUGAGGAAUACGUAGGAAUUUGCCCUUAAGUGGGGGAUAACCCGGGGAAACCCGGAUUAAUACCGCAUGACCUCGAAAGAGCAAAGUGGGGGAUCGCAAGACCUCACGCUUUUGGAGAAGCCUACGUCGGAUUAGCUAGUUGUGAGGUAAUGGCUCACCAAGGCGACGAUCCGUAACUGGUCUGAGAGGAUGAUCAGUCACACCGGACUGAGACACGGUCCGACUCCUACGGG